AGUGAACGCUGGCGGUAGGCCUAACACAUGCAAGUCGAACGGCAGCACAGUAAGAGCUUGCUCUUACGGGUGGCGAGUGGCGGACGGGUGAGGAAUACAUCGGAAUCUAUUUUUUCGUGGGGGAUAACGUAGGGAAACUUACGCUAAUACCGCAUACGACCUACGGGUGAAAGCAGGGGAUCUUCGGACCUUGCGCGAUUGAAUGAGCCGAUGUCGGAUUAGCUAGUUGGCGGGGUAAAGGCCCACCAAGGCGACGAUCCGUAGCUGGUCUGAGAGGAUGAUCAGCCACACUGGAACUGAGACACGGUCCAGACUCCUACGGGAGGCAGCAGUGGGGAAUAUUGGACAAUGGGCGCAAGCCUGAUCCAGCCAUACCGCGUGGGUGAAGAAGGCCUUCGGGUUGUAAAGCCCUUUUGUUGGGAAAGAAAAGCAGCAGGUUAAUACCCCGCUGUUCUGACGGUACCCAAAGAAUAAGCACCGGCUAACUUCGU
Molecule: ribosomal RNA, 491 nt
Filed under: uncultured bacterium
Lineage: Bacteria
Description: partial 16S ribosomal RNA
Rfam family: Bacterial small subunit ribosomal RNA
Source: RNAcentral